UUGACCUCAAAUCAGGUAGGAUUACCCGCUGAACUUAAGCA
Molecule: ribosomal RNA, 41 nt
Filed under: Debaryomyces hansenii
Lineage: Eukaryota; Fungi; Ascomycota; Pichiomycetes; Serinales; Debaryomycetaceae
Also listed under: 2 other names
Description: partial 28S ribosomal RNA
Source: RNAcentral